GCAUGUCGGAUAAUCCAAUCUCAGUAAAUUUAAAGGGGCAAAAAGAAAAGAAAAACUACAAAUUGUGAGCACAAUAAAAUACAAAUCCGUACAGGAAGUCAGGCCUCAAGAUUAAAGAAAAACAAAAACAGUAAAACCGAUCAAAUAUAUCACAGUAAAUGAGUACAGAAGAAGUUUGAAAUGAUACAAAGCAAUGAUUUUGGCUAAUGGCAACCUCAUUUUACAUAUAAGAAUGACGCACAAAAUAAAGAUACAAAAUUCCCAAUUGACUUCAUCCAAAAAGGGGUGAUUUUGGCAGAUGGGCACCUCAAUCUAUAAAGAACGAUGCACAAAAUAGAAAUAAAAAAUUCCCAAUUGAUUUACAUACAAAAAGAGAUGGUUUUGGCAGAUGGGCACACAAAAUAGAAUACUAACUCCUGAUUGAUUUACAUACAAAAAAACAUGAUUUUGGCAGAUGAACACCCCCGAAUUAUAUAGAUGUACAAAAUUCCCAAUUGAUUUUGAAUACAGAAGUGAAUAACUUUGGCAGAUGGUUGCCUCAGUUUAUGUACAAGAAUGAUGGACAAAAUAAACACACAAAAUUUUCAGUUGAUUUUCAUACUAAAAACCAUGAUUUCGGCAGAUUAUAUAGGAGUACAAAAUGCCUAAUUUAGCAGAAAUACACCUCAAUUAAGAGCAAAAUAAACAAAAUAAAAACCAAACCGCACUAUAUCAAAAAAUUAUAAGCUGGGCACCUCAGAUUUGGAGAUGGAUUUCUCUACAACUUUCUUCUUCUUGACAGAUGAAUCAAUCCUGACCUUUGAUGACGAUGACCCAUCACCACUAGAUUUGAUCUCUGAAGCCAUGGAUUGAUUUUAACUGUGUAGACAGGCUGCAAUUUUGACCUGUUAAAUCCAAUUUCUCUAUCUAGAUUUGCAGACCUGUCAAUUGAAUACGCAUCGCAUGAUAAAUCUCUAUCUUGUGUAAUGAAAUAAAAAAUGGAAAAAGAAAGCAGAAUGGCGUGCUGGGUUUUUAACUGCUGCCAAUAAAGUCAUGAACCCAGUUACCCAAAUCUACUGUUGCAUUGCAACUUGCAUGUGGUGAUCAUGUUAAAUUUGCCCUUGUUCUUAAAAAUAAAUAAAUUACCUUUUCAAAUAUAUAUAAUAAC
RNAcentral lists this long non-coding RNA (1147 nucleotides) under Olea europaea subsp. europaea. The record is from RNAcentral. Lineage: Eukaryota; Viridiplantae; Streptophyta; Magnoliopsida; Lamiales; Oleaceae.